AUGCUUUCUUUGGGAAAAAUUCCAACAUGGGUUCAUAUCAGAAAAUUUUUGAGGAUGAACUCAAGGGGAUCUCAAGGCAAAAACUUUCUUGAAAAGCCCUGUGGACCUGCAUUUGGCUUCUUCAUUGGACCUCUCCAUUCAAAUUGUCACAGGUCCAAAAGGAGGCUGAGUUGCCCAUUUACACGUAGAAUUUGGAGAAGAUAUUUGGCUGACCAACCCUGUGGUGCCAUAGCAACUGACCUGAUAAGCUCAUUUUAACUAAGAUGUCAAUGAUUCAUAAUGAUCCUGAAUUAUCCCCUCCUGGAAGGUCUUUAAUUUCAAACAAGAAGACAGUACUUCAGCAUCUGAGCCUCAUCUCUUUAUCUGAAAAAUGACAGACUAGGACUAGAUCUCUGAGACUUCUUUCAGACAUGAGAUUCGGUGGUGCUCUAAAUGACCAUGAUUAGAUUUUUUAGGCUCCUUGAAGGGCUUAUAAGAUAGAAAUUUAGGGGUAUGGAGGGUCUUAAAGGACCCAUCAUGUCAGCAUCCAUAAAGAAUUGCCUUCUACACCUUAUUUAUACCUACUCAACUGUUGCUGGUGUCAUCUCUCUGGAUAUUUUUCAUCUUUACAACAAUGUUUCCUUUCCUCUGCUAUAAGUUCCACGAAGGCAUGAGUAUUUCUUUGCUAUUCUCAACCAUUCCUCCCUGCUACAUUUUUAGUACCUGGCAUAACUACAGACUGAUCACAUAACAGAUGCCUUUGGAUAAAUGAAGAUGAUGAACUUUCCACCUUCAUAGUUAAGGGUUUUUGAAGUGAAGUGAAUAAAUUUUAAAUUUGUUGGGCA
This 824-nucleotide long non-coding RNA is filed under the name Monodelphis domestica (gray short-tailed opossum). RNAcentral's name for it is "lncRNA (ENSMODG00000041680.1)". The record is from RNAcentral. Lineage: Eukaryota; Metazoa; Chordata; Mammalia; Didelphimorphia; Didelphidae.